AUUGAACGCUGGCGGCAGGCCUAACACAUGCAAGUCGAACGAGUGGCGGACGGGUGAGUACUGUCUGGGAAACUGCCUGAUGGCGGGGGAUAACUACUGGAAACGGUAGCUAAUACCGCAUACCAUCAGAUGUGCCCCCAUGGGAGUAGCUCGUAGGUGGGGUAACGGGUCACCUAGGCGACGCUCCCUAGCUGGUCUGAGAGGAUGACCAGCCACGCUGGAACUGAGACACGGUCCAGACUCCGACGGGAGGCAGCAGUGGGGAAUAUUGCACAAUGGGCGCAAGCCUGAUGCAGCCAUGCCGCGUGUAUGAAGAAGGCCUUCGGGUUGUAAAGUACUGUCAGCGGGGAGGCGUUACCCGCAGAAGAAGCACCGGCUAACUCCGUGCCAGCAGCCGCGGUAAUAC
Molecule: ribosomal RNA, 406 nt
Filed under: uncultured bacterium
Lineage: Bacteria
Description: partial 16S ribosomal RNA
Rfam family: Bacterial small subunit ribosomal RNA
Source: RNAcentral